GACGUCGAGGAGGGCGUGGGCCUGAUCGAGCUCGCGGCCGCCCUGCUCCUCUACAGACUAUCUCUAUCCUCAGUCGUAGGCUCCUCGUGCUUUCUCCCCUGCGCCGCCACCCAAUGGUCUCCGCCAGCGCCGCGUGCCCCCAAGAAAAUGGCGGCCUUGGAUGAAAACGUGCGGCUCGAUCGACCUUGAGAAGAUCCCCAUCAACGCGGACUCCCCUAUGACCAAACCAACGAUCAAUGUGUGCUGAGAAUGACAGCAGUAUGCACCACAUUUGCAGUCUUAACUACAUGGUUAGUAAAACUUUUUAUUCAGCUCAAAGAGGUCCUGCAGUACAUCCUAGGAAAUAAAGGCGAGUCAAUUUGGUGAGGAUAAACUGG
Molecule: non-coding RNA, 377 nt
Organism: Triticum urartu
Lineage: Eukaryota; Viridiplantae; Streptophyta; Magnoliopsida; Poales; Poaceae
Source: RefSeq, a predicted model, not a curated record